AAAUAGCCCCGAUAGAAAUUAAAAACCUAGUAAGAGCUGGCUUUCAGCUCUUACUAGGUUUGUAAUGUAUAGCGGGAAAUACG
Non-coding RNA from Flavobacterium sp. AED, 83 nucleotides. NCBI's taxonomy places the organism in Bacteria, Pseudomonadati, Bacteroidota, Flavobacteriia, Flavobacteriales, Flavobacteriaceae. The record is from Rfam.